This 2644-nucleotide long non-coding RNA is filed under the name Marmota monax (woodchuck). The record is from RNAcentral. Lineage: Eukaryota; Metazoa; Chordata; Mammalia; Rodentia; Sciuridae.
GAAAUGGCAGUUUCCUCUUAGCAAUAGAAUUAAAUAUGUUAUUAUGUAUUUCUUUGUAUGAUUGUGUAUUUUUUAACUUUUUGUUUAAGGUGUCUUUCACCAACCAGAGGCCAAGCAUCAAGAAGGCAGAAGAAAGUAUCUCUUGGUCUUCACUGAGUCUACAGCAUCUAGCAUGGCCCAGAGAGUGUGCUCAGUCAAUCUGGGUUAUUCAUCAGAGGUUUUGGUCAAGGAGAAGUACAGAACUGUACAUCACCCUUAUGGGCAUGCCUAGACUGCACUCAAAAUUUCCACAAAACUUUCAGGAUCAUAAAGUAGCCAGAGUCCUUCUGGGUGAUCUUCCAAGACCUGUCCUUCUCCCAGUGAAGGACCUCCUUUGGCAGCAUCUUGGCUACUUAAAUAUUGUAGCCACAGAGUGAGGACAUGAUGCCCAGAGAGCAGUAGUACUAAUCCUACUUAGUGCUGCUGGCUGGACACCUGCAGGAAUACUGUGGGUAUGAAACUUGGAGAGCAAUUUUGGCCAACCAUAGAGAUCUGAAGGUAGGAUGGCAACACCAUAAGAGACCUGAAACCAUGCUCCAUGGGAAAGAACGGAAAGAACUGGGAUUAUUCAGGUGGGCAUGGGGUAGGGAUGGUGGGGACAAGACAGAACAUAUAGGAGUCUCCAAAUAGGGGGAGUUGACUUUACUCUGUAGGCUUUGAGGUCAGAGCUAGAGUAAUGGUUAGACGUUAGAGAAGACAGCUGCUAUAUUUAAGGAAGAACUUUGUGAAAUUAGUUAUUUAUCAAUAGGACAAUUACUUUAACUGUAGAAUUGAAGUCCCUCCACUCAACACAUAUUUAUUGUUUUCUAUGUUCCAGACACUCUGUAAGGUUAGUUUAUGAUAAUUCCUCGCAAGCACAUAGUACUUGUGGUAUUCAUCACUUAUUUUCACAGUUCAUAAAAGCCAUCUUAAGUAGUCUCAUUUAGAAUUUGGAGUUUGUCUCCAACAUUAGUGGUUUCUCAAUUCUAGAGUUACACAUUUUUACUCACAAAAUUUGUAAACUGCAUUGAUGUUUUCUCAUGUCCAAUGUUAGUUAUAUGGACAUUCUUCUAUCAAAACAAGUGUUUUCAGUAUCAUAAAUCAAAAUUACCUAGACUUUAUCCACUGUCUUUAUUGCUUCCAUAUUUGUUUUAAACUUUUCUGCAAUAAACAUGUACGUGAGGAUCACUUGGGAAGAUGAGAUACUCCCUUACUGUUCUGGUAGAAGAACUAUAAAGUAUCCACCAAGCCCCUGCCCUUUGUGCCUUGGUACACAGCUAGACUGCAUUUCCUGGCUCCUUUGUAAGUAGGUGUUCCUGAGUUUUAAACAUUGCAAAGAGGGUCAAUAGGAUGUGCGUCACAGGCCUGGUUCAUAAAACCAUCUCUCCCUAUCUCCUGAUAAGGGACUCCAAGGUCAUACACAGGGAUACAACCACAGAGAGAAGGAGCCUGAAUCUCUGAAAGAAGGUCGUCUGAAACCCAGAAAUCGGGUUUGGGCUUGGAUGAGAAAUCAACUUUAUUAUGUUGAUGGAUUGAGAUUUGGGAUAUUUGUUAGAGCUGCCAAUGUCAUCUUACUGCCGUUGGUGCUGCAGGAUAACCUCAGUGAGGGAUCACAGAUCCAAAGUAGGGGUUUUGUCCCAGUUUGAAGAGAAUUAAUGGAGAAGACAGAGUAAAGCAGAUGGCACUUAAUUGCAUAUGGAGGCUUCCUUUUGCUAAUAUUUUCUUCCCAUCUAAUUUAUAAACUUCAUGAGGCAUGUUAGCAUGUCUUAUGUCCUCUGCUGUAUUUCAUCGUAGAGUAUUUACUGAGAAAUGCCUGGUGCUUUGGGGUUUUCAGAAAGAAUCCAGAGAGCACAUACUGUUAAACAUUCAUUAAUUCAACAGUGUGUGAGUAUUUACCAUAGGCCAGCCUCUGGUGAUCAUGGUAAACAGGAACUACAGGCCUGCCUACAAGUUGACAGAUAGCAAGGAAAGUGGGUAACCAGGAGGUAAGACUAGUCUGAUAAUGCCGUGACGUGACAGAGAGGAACAGGAUUCUCUGCCUGCACAUGGCAUCUAACAAGGGUAGAGACCAGAGAAUUGUUGUUCAGAAGGUGGUGAAAGUUUUAAACUGAGACUUCCAGGAUGGAUAGAAGCACCCAGAAGAAGUGGAGGUGGUGCAGAGAAAAAGAAUAAUCUAAGAAGAGUCAGGACAUACAACAAGGCCUGGUGUUAACGAAUGUAGGGCAUGUUUGGAGGGACAAAAGGGAAGCAAGAAAGGAAGAGUGAGGAUGAGCAUCAGAGGAGGGCUUUGUGGUUUAUGUACACAUGUACUGAAAUGCACCUGGAGGCCUUGCACUAUGUACAAACAUCAUACACUAAGAUGUGUAUGCAUGUUCUUAGGAAAUAGGACUGGGUAGCCAUCAAGAUGUCAAUGAAUGGGCUGGGGUUGUGGCUCAGUGGUAGAGCACUUGCCUCACAUAUGUGAGGCACUGGGUUUGAAUCUCAGCACUGCAUAUAAAAAAAUAAAAUAAAAGUCCAUCAACAACUAAAAAAAAUAUUCUUAAGAAAUGUCAAUGACUGCUAUUUGGGUAAAUUCCACUGUCCUAUUUGUUUUAAACUUUUCUGCAAUAAACAUGUACACUCGCAA